Molecule: long non-coding RNA, 466 nt
Organism: Populus nigra (black poplar)
Lineage: Eukaryota; Viridiplantae; Streptophyta; Magnoliopsida; Malpighiales; Salicaceae
Exons: 2
Source: RefSeq, a predicted model, not a curated record
AGCUAGGCUAGUUCACUAGUUGUAUACCCAACAACUCAAAAGCCAAAAGGGUUUGGUUUUGUUACGGUUCGAGUCAGAGACUGAUGCGCACAAGGCAUUGGAGGCCAUGAAUGGCAGGAUUGUUAAUGGAAGGCUGAUCUUUGUUGAAGUGGCAAAAAAUACCGAGUGAUGAUCGAGUACGAUUCUCUUUUAUUUCCCCAAUUAGGAAACCAAAAGGGUGAGCAUGACCAAAUGUUGCUACAAGCGUAUUGGUAAGACAAAUUAGGACUCUUGCAGAGAGGAGAAUUUGUAAAAGGAGAAAGUUAAUGCAUUUGAUUUUAUACUUUGCCUAAGCACUUGAUUGUAUUCAUGCUUUUGCCUGAACGAGCAACUUGACUUCAUGAUUGUAAAAGGAGAAGUUACAUUGUUGUAAAGUUUGCUCAGUAUUACCAAUAAAACGAAAUCGAGUGGAUUCCAGUUAACAGAA